ACCACCUGAGCUGGAAUCAAAUGGAAAUCCCAGCUGUUCUUCAAAGAAAUACACAACCUCAGAAAGCUGAGAAGAGACUAAUUAAGAAGACCCCAGGCCCUGAUGAACUGAGAAACAGCAGGCCUGGGGUAUUCUAGCCCCAGGUGUCUGCAGAAGGUUGCUAGUAGAGCGAGGAGUAAAGGUUCAAGGGGAAAUCACUCUUCAAAGUCAAUGAAGAGCCAAGGAGCCACUUGGGAUCAGAAUCUCCACGUGCCUACCUCCACAGUGACAACAAGCAAACCCUUGUUACUUCCAGGUCCAAGGACAUGACAACCCUGGUACACCUUGCCAUUGAAAGCAAAGGAGGAAGAAAGAUGGACCCAGGCUGAAAGAACAGCUUCUACAUAGGUCAUGUCUACGAAAGAGCAAGAGCAUUGGCCAGAACUCAAGAUGAGUCAUAAACCUUCUGCUCCAACAUGCUAAAUGCUGUGUUUACCCACAUUUCACUGGGCAAAGCAUGUCACAUGACUGAACCAAAUCCAGUGAGAUGAAGACAUAAAAUCUCCCCACAGGAGGCACAGUAAACACCUGACAAUGGACAGGGGGUGGGUGGGUAG
Bubalus bubalis (water buffalo) is the source of this 596-nucleotide long non-coding RNA. RefSeq lists it as uncharacterized. Lineage: Eukaryota; Metazoa; Chordata; Mammalia; Artiodactyla; Bovidae. The record is from RefSeq and is a predicted model, not a curated record. The transcript is spliced from 3 exons.